This is a ribosomal RNA of 377 nucleotides. It matches the Rfam family "Eukaryotic small subunit ribosomal RNA", at positions 582 to 975 of the family's 1831-position model.
AUUCCAGCUCCAAUAGCGUAUAUUAAAGUUGUUGCAGUUAAAAAGCUCGUAGUUGAACUUCUGAUAGUUGAUUUGGCUGGCUUCGGUCGCCUUGUUGGCUGUCAUCCGCUUGGGAAUUUCGUUCGGUCUUCAUUGAUUGGCGGGGGGAUCAAGCAUUUUACUUUGAAAAAAUUAGAGUGUUCAAGGCAGGCUAUCGCCAUGAAUACACAAGCAUGGAAUAAUGGAAUAGGACUCUCAGUCAUUUUAUUGGUUAUUGACUGAAAGUAAUGAUCAAUAGGGACAGUUGGGGGCAUUCGUAUUUAAUUGUCAGAGGUGAAAUUCUUGGAUUUAUUAAAGACGAACUUAUGCGAAAGCAUUUGCCAAGGAUGUUUUCAUUG